Molecule: ribosomal RNA, 493 nt
Filed under: uncultured bacterium
Lineage: Bacteria
Description: partial 16S ribosomal RNA
Rfam family: Bacterial small subunit ribosomal RNA
Source: RNAcentral
AUUGAACGCUGGCGGCAUGCCUUACACAUGCAAGUCGAACGGUAACAGGUUAAGCUGACGAGUGGCGAACGGGUGAGUAAUAUAUCGGAACGUGCCCAGUCGUGGCGGAUAACGUAGCGAAAGCUACGCUAAUACCGCAUACGAUCUACGGAUGAAAGCGGGGGAUCGCAAGACCUCGCGCGAUUGGAGCGGCCGAUAUCAGAUUAGGUUGUUGGUGAGGUAAAAGCCCACCAAGGCUGCGAUCUGUAGCUGGUCUGAGAGGACGACCAGCCACACUGGAACUGAGACACAGUACAGACUCCUACGGGAGGCAGCAGUGGGUAAUUUUGGACAAUGGACGCAAGUCUGAUCCAGCAAUGCCGCGUGCAGGACGAAGGCCUUCGGGUUGUAAACUGCUUUUGUACGGAACGAAACGGUGAGCUCUAAUACAGUUUGCUAAUGACGGUACCGUAAGAAUAAGCACCGGCUAACUACGUGCCAGCCGCCGCGGUAA